This 466-nucleotide ribosomal RNA is filed under the name uncultured bacterium. Its description in RNAcentral is "partial 16S ribosomal RNA". It matches the Rfam family "Bacterial small subunit ribosomal RNA", at positions 28 to 507 of the family's 1533-position model. The record is from RNAcentral.
GACGAACGCUGGCGGCGCGCUUAACACAUGCAAGUCGAACGAGCGAGCGCGGGCUUGCUUUCUUGCGCGAGUGGCGAACGGGUGAGUAACGCGUGAGGAACCUGCCCUUAAGAGUGGGAUAACAGCUGGAAACGACUGCUAAUACCGCAUAAGCGCACCUUGCCCCAUGUCAGGGUGGGAAAAGCAGCAAUCGGCUUUGGGAUGGCCUCGCGUCCGAUUAGCUAGUUGGUGUGGUAACGGCCCAGCAAGGCGACGAUGGGGAGCCGGGCGGAGAUGUGGAACCACCGCGUUGGAGCUGAGGCACGGCCUCAACUGCGACGGAGAACAGCAGAAGAGAACAUUGCGCGCUGAAGGAAGAUCUAACGCAGCGGCGUGGGGGAGGGGGAGAAGGUGUUCGGAUUGUGAAUUCGUGUUGGAGGAAGAGUUAGUGACGGUAACGGGCAAAGAAGUGACGGCUAACUACGUG